This 2363-nucleotide long non-coding RNA is filed under the name Vigna radiata. RNAcentral's name for it is "long non-coding RNA (VRAD_LNC011431)". Lineage: Eukaryota; Viridiplantae; Streptophyta; Magnoliopsida; Fabales; Fabaceae. The record is from RNAcentral.
UUUUCCUUAGAAUUUGAAUAAAGAUUAGAUAAUUUUUUUGUUGGGUUCGAUGGAAUUGUAGAUUUAAUGAGUCUCACAUGACUAUAUAUAUAAGAGACAUUGACAUAAUUUUUAAUAAAAAAUUUAAGAGAAUAAUUAUGUGAUUAUUUUUUUACUUGUUUUGAGUUGUUUUGAGUUGUUUUGAGUUGUGCCUAGAAUCCUAGAGAUGUCUUUACUUGUUUUCUACUCUACUCUCUUUCACUGUAUCUCAGAUUAAUCUANANUUUCUAUAUAAAUAUUGAGAACCUAAGAGAGACUUGCACAAGCUUCUCUAAGAUAUCUGCUCUCUCUUUUUUUUUUUCUCAAAUACAUACAAGUGCUUAUUUGGUGGAGCAGUUUCAUGUGCUUAGAAUAGAGAAGCCUUUAAUUUAAACCUGAAUAAAAAAAAUAAAUAGCUAUAAGUGCAGCAGACAAUCUUUUUAUUGGUAUUCAAUGUUUCAUUAAAUUUAUCAUACANCAAAUAUAAUAAAAACCACAAAGCAAUUAGAUAAACUUACUGGUGCACGUAUAGCAAUUUUUCCCACAGACAAGUUUAGAUCUGGCAGUUCCCGGAUGCAAUUUUUAUCUUUUGACUGACCUGUGUUUUCUACAUUGUCAAGACUACUUGAGGAUUUCCCAGGUUGGGAUUUUGAAUGUGCAGAUAAAUUUUCAGAACACGGGUGAUAAAUUAACUAUUCUGUUCUUAUUAAUGUUUUUCAGAACAGGAAGUUCCAGCAGUUUCAAGCCCNACAAUUUGUAAUCAUCGAAGUAUGCCGUAGUCUGUUUUGAUUGGAGAGCAUUUUUGUUUUAGGGUCUUUCAUUUUGUUAUUAGUAAUGCUUUNCNGUGUAUUAGUAUCUUUCUCUUGUUAUUGUGAAUACUUCUAAUUUGUCUGAUAUGAUCGAAACCUUGCUGACUGAGGCUCGUUAUCAGCUGUAACAUGAAUACCUGUCCCACCUGGGGAAUUCAUCCAGACAUGUUGCUUUGAGGGAAAAGUCUAUAACUGACAUUUUUAUUUUGUAUACUUCAAAGUUCGGAGCAGCUUUCUCUCGAGAAAUUGUGACCGCUCUGCAUGAUCUUGUAUAACGUCUACAACAACAUUUGUAAGCUGUUUUGUGCUGUUUAGUUUCUGACAUUUAUUUAAUAUAGUAAUGGCAAUGAAUAUACUGAAUUUUCUUAUUUUUCAAAAGUUAUCUUUAAACUUAUUUAAGUUGUAUAUUAUUAAAUAUACGUAUAUUCAUUGCCAUUAUUAAUCAUACUAAGGAGGUGACUGAUCAAAGCAUAUUAAGUGCAGUGAUGAAUGUGUGAACGAUUAUACUUUUUACUUUUAUUUAUAGUUAUGGAUUUUUUUUUGGGUUUAAUCAUAUUUUAAUAAAUAUUAGUAGAUUGAUUUGUAAUUAUAUUGACUAAUUAUUAAUAUGAUUUUUAUUUUGUAAUCGGUCAGUUUUCUUAAAUCCACCUGCAUCUUUAAAUUUAUCACNCGUGUUCUUAGAUUGAGACACUUCAGUCUUCUGUUUAUCAGCACCUUCUGCAUCAAGAGGAUCAUUAUUUGAUACUUUUGAACAGACAGGGGGGUCCGAAACUGGUGUAGCAUCAACAAUUUUNUUUUUCAAACUAAUUCCANAGACAUCCAUUUGCUUCUGAAAUUUCAGGUCUUCAUAAUGUUCACUAGGUACGCCAACGUUAUUUGAGGAACUGAGCAUAUUUUUCACAGGUAAUGAUGAAGUCUUCACAACGACACUCUUGCCCACUUUCACAAGUUUAUUUGAUACAUGACCAUCAAUAUUUUCUCCAGGAUUCUUUGAUAUAUCUUUUCGGCGCCUUUGUUUAUUUGAUACAUGACCAUCAAUAUUUUCUUUGAUACAUGACCAAACAAUUCUGCCACAUUGUAGAAAUCAGCAUUUACAGUAUAUAAUUGUGUGCCAACAGUUUUUCCUUGAUUAAUCUCUGGCACAGAGACUGUCAUUUUCCCAGGAAUAGGAUCUCUUGCUGCUACAACAAUACAAUGUCUUGUCCCAUUAUAGUAUUCUUCUGUUGUCAUGAAAUUAGAAGGCCUUGGAAACAUCUCCUUUAUACAACAAUACAAUAUCAUGUUUUUAUUCAUUAGUAUGCAGUGCCUAUUUGUUUUAUGGUAUGCUUGGAUCGAUGUGUGUUUGGUUACAUGAUUCAGAUGAAUUGUACAAUUAUUGGAAUACUAUGCAAUAAUGUCCAAUGAAAAUGGAAUUUAGUUAGUGCUUUGGCUUUUGGUAUCUGUCUGUGUCAUAGUUAGCUUUAUUGGUUGUUGCAAUAAGAUUUAUAUGCAUAGUGUGAGAAGUAUUGGUCCAUUGCAUUUUAUAUAUGGUGUAAA